RNAcentral lists this ribosomal RNA (253 nucleotides) under uncultured bacterium. RNAcentral's name for it is "partial 16S ribosomal RNA". It matches the Rfam family "Bacterial small subunit ribosomal RNA", at positions 524 to 776 of the family's 1533-position model. The record is from RNAcentral.
UACGUAGGGGGCUAGCGUUGUCCGGAUUUAUUGGGCGUAAAGAGCGUGUAGGCGGCCAGGUAGGUCUGGUGUGAAAACUCGAGGCUUAACCUCGAGAUGUCAUCGGAAACCAUCUGGCUAGAGUCCGGAAGAGGAAAGUGGAAUUCCUGGUGUAGCGGUGAAAUGCGCAGAUAUCAGGAAGAACACCAAUGGCGAAAGCAGCUCUCUGGGACGGUACUGACGCUGAGACGCGAAAGCGUGGGGAGCGAACAGG